This 497-nucleotide ribosomal RNA is filed under the name uncultured bacterium. Its description in RNAcentral is "partial 16S ribosomal RNA". It matches the Rfam family "Bacterial small subunit ribosomal RNA", at positions 28 to 507 of the family's 1533-position model. The record is from RNAcentral.
GAUGAACGCUGGCGGCGUGCCUAACACAUGCAAGUCGAGCGGAAAGACAAUGAGCGUUUGCCUUUGAGGGUAGCGGGGGGCGGAAGGGUAACAAGUGGAUCACCAACUUCUUAUACGCGGAGGACACCGGGGAAAAGCGGCGAAUACUAGCUAAUACGACGGACGGCUGGGUGCAAAGGUGAUAGGUGGCUUUGGUGUUACAGUGAGAUGAACUCGUGCCGGAUUAGCUGGUUGGUAAAGGAACGGCCUGGCAAGGCGACGAUCCGGGGCCGACCUGAGAGGCUGAUCGGCCACACUGGAACUGGGACACGGUCCCGACUCCUACGGGAGGCAGCAGUAGGGAAUGUUCGGCAAUGGGCGGAAGCCUGACGCAGCCAGCCCGCGUGAGUUAUGAAGGCCUUCGGAUCGUAAAGCCCUGUUAUUGGGUAAGAACAGCUGUCUGAGUAACCGUGGCCGUCUUGACGGUACCUAAAGAGAAAGCGCCGGCUAACUACGUG